UGCUUUUCACACUUCAAACAUGAUCCUUGGACCACAACCUGAUCAUGGACCCACAGGUGGGAGCUUAUAAAUUAAACCAAUUCAGCCAGCAAGACUUGCUGCUAGAGCUGCAUCUCUUGGCAUUGUAAUGGAUCCAGUAAUUUUCAGUAUGUUCCCACCACUAUGAACAUGUUUUCUAGUGCACCAUCAAAUCUCUGAGCUGCAGUUCCUACUAAGUUCCAACGCUUGUUUUGGAGCAGUAUUUGCUGUGGGAAAUUUCUGCUGCUUCCCCCAGCUUCCUUGAGGCAGGCAGCUCCAGAUCCUAAGCCAUGGAAAGUGGCCACCAGCUCUUCUUGUCACGGCUUUUCUCCGUGCCCAUCCUGCUGACGCAACUGGCUCCUCUCAUCAUGCUUCCUCUUCUUGGUGCCGUCUUCUGCAUGUUCCGAGUUGACAAUCUCUUCCCUGGAUGUUUCUUGCUUCUUGUCCCUUUUAUCCUCCUUCUUGGGCUCCUCCUUUGCCUCUUUCCACAAGUUCAGUCCACCGGAAUACUCGUCGUUCGCAGCACGGCAUAGACCAUGGCAAUGCAGAAGAAAAGAAAAGAUCAGGCGAUACAACUAGGAGCAGUGGUGCUCAUGAAGAAAUUACAUUAAUGCAGCUACAGCUCAAGAAUAGAUUGCAGCAUGGUAUGUUAUGUACACAAAAGAUGAACUAGAAGAAAUGGAUGAGCUUUCAGAGAACAAAGAAUUUCAUCCAGCGAUUCAUAUGUACUCUGAAAUAGAAAACUGCAUUAACUGUAUCUUUUUUUUUCUAAGUUUGAAAAGCCUACGAUCAUUUAUCUCACAUGAAAGGAGCUAAAAGCGAGGUUUUUAAGUUAACGACAGCUACGGUAGAUACUUAUAUACAUGAUAAUUCUAUCAAAUUCCCAUGAUUCUCACAUAGAAAAUCGGUUAU
This 930-nucleotide long non-coding RNA is filed under the name Phoenix dactylifera (date palm). Its description in RNAcentral is "long non-coding RNA (PDAC_LNC000406)". Lineage: Eukaryota; Viridiplantae; Streptophyta; Magnoliopsida; Arecales; Arecaceae. The record is from RNAcentral.